UACAGAGGUCUCUAGCGUUGUUCGGAUUUACUGGGCGUAAAGGGAGCGUAGGCGGUUUGGUGUGUCGAAUGUGAAAUCCCACAACUCAACUGUGGAACGGCAUUCGAAACUACCAGACUAGAGUACUGGAGAGGAGAGCGGAAUUCUUGGUGUAGCGGUGAAAUGCGUAGAUAUCAAGAGGAACACCGGUGGCGAAGGCGGCUCUCUGGACAGAUACUGACGCUGAGGCUCUAAAGUUAGGGGAG
Molecule: ribosomal RNA, 245 nt
Filed under: uncultured bacterium
Lineage: Bacteria
Description: partial 16S ribosomal RNA
Rfam family: Bacterial small subunit ribosomal RNA
Source: RNAcentral